RNAcentral lists this ribosomal RNA (621 nucleotides) under uncultured bacterium. Its description in RNAcentral is "bacterial SSU rRNA". It matches the Rfam family "Bacterial small subunit ribosomal RNA", at positions 202 to 842 of the family's 1533-position model. The record is from RNAcentral.
CAAAGGAGCAAUCCGCUGGAAGAUGGGCUCGCGGCCGAUUAGCUAGUUGGUGGGGCAACGGCCCACCAAGGCGACGAUCGGUAGCCGGACUGAGAGGUUGAUCGGCCACAUUGGGACUGAGACACGGCCCAUACUCCUACGGGAGGCAGCAGUGGGGGAUAUUGCACAAUGGAGGAAACUCUGAUGCAGCGACGCCGCGUGAGGGAAGACGGUCUUCGGAUUGUAAACCUCUGUCUUUGGGGAAGAAAAUGACGGUACCCAAAGAGGAAGCUCCGGCUAACUACGUCCCAGCAGCCGCGGUAAUACGUAGGGAGCGAGCGUUGUCCGGAAUUACUGGGUGUAAAGGGAGCGUAGGCGGGCGAGAAAGUUGAAUGUUAAAUCUCCCGGCUUAACUGGUAGCUGCGUUCAAAACUUCUUGUCUUGAGUGAAGUAGAGGCAGGCGGAAUUCCUAGUGUAGCGGUGAAAUGCGUAGAUAUUAGGAGGACCACCAGUGGCGAAGGCGCCCUGCUGGGCUUUAACUGACGCUGAGGCUCGAAAGCGUGGGGAGCAAACAGGAUUAGAUACCCUGGUAGUCCACGCUGUAAACGAUGAUUACUAGGUGUGGGGGGACUGACCCCUUCC